This 497-nucleotide ribosomal RNA is filed under the name uncultured bacterium. RNAcentral describes it as "partial 16S ribosomal RNA". It matches the Rfam family "Bacterial small subunit ribosomal RNA", at positions 28 to 507 of the family's 1533-position model. The record is from RNAcentral.
GACGAACGCUGGCGGCGUGCCUAAUACAUGCAAGUUGAGCGCUGAAGGUUGGUACUUGUACUGACUGGAUGAGCAGCGAACGGGUGAGUAACGCGUGGGGAAUCUGCCUUUGAGCGGGGGACAACAUUUGGAAACGAAUGCUAAUACCGCAUAAAAACUUUAAACACAAGUUUUAAGUUUGAAAGAUGCAAUUGCAUCACUCAAAGAUGAUCCCGCGUUGUAUUAGCUAGUUGGUGAGGUAAAGGCUCACCAAGGCGAUGAUACAUAGCCGACCUGAGAGGGUGAUCGGCCACAUUGGGACUGAGACACGGCCCAAACUCCUACGGGAGGCAGCAGUAGGGAAUCUUCGGCAAUGGACGAAAGUCUGACCGAGCAACGCCGCGUGAGUGAAGAAGGUUUUCGGAUCGUAAAACUCUGUUGGUAGAGAAGAACGUUGGUGAGAGUGGGAAGCUCAUCAAGUGACGGUAACUACCCAGAAAGGGACGGCUAACUACGUG